This 497-nucleotide ribosomal RNA is filed under the name uncultured organism. RNAcentral describes it as "bacterial SSU rRNA". It matches the Rfam family "Bacterial small subunit ribosomal RNA", at positions 29 to 507 of the family's 1533-position model. The record is from RNAcentral.
AACGAACGCUGGCGGCGUGCCUAACACAUGCAAGUCGAGCGCGAAAGGAGCAAUCCGAGUAGAGCGGCGCACGGGUGCGUAACACGUGGGUAAUCUGCCUCAGGGUUGAGGAUAACCUUCCGAAAGGUUGGCUAAUACUCGGUAAGCUUACGGAGUCUUCGGACUCUGUGAGAAAACUAGACCUCUAUUUAUAAGUUUAGGCCCAGAGAUGAGCCCGCGGCCCAUCAGCUAGUUGGCGGUGUAACGGACCACCAAGGCAACGACGGGUAGCUGGUCUGAGAGGACGAUCAGCCACACUGGAACUGAGACACGGUCCAGACUCCUACGGGAGGCAGCAGUGGGGAAUUUUCCACAAUGGGCGAAAGCCUGAUGGAGCAACGCCGCGUGUGUGAUGAAGGUCUUCGGAUCGUAAAGCACUUUCGACCGGGACGAAAACCCGUUGGCUAACAUCCAACGGACUGACGGUACCGGGAGAAGAAGCACCGGCUAACUCUGUG